ACCAAGAGGCAGAAGUAUGAGAGG
RNAcentral lists this non-coding RNA (24 nucleotides) under Cricetulus griseus (Chinese hamster). Lineage: Eukaryota; Metazoa; Chordata; Mammalia; Rodentia; Cricetidae. The record is from RNAcentral.